Non-coding RNA from Odocoileus virginianus texanus, 316 nucleotides. NCBI's taxonomy places the organism in Eukaryota, Metazoa, Chordata, Mammalia, Artiodactyla, Cervidae. The record is from RefSeq and is a predicted model, not a curated record.
AAAAGAAUCAGCAGAAGUUAUAUCAGCAGAGGCCAAGGAGUCUGUCCUCCACAAACUUGGGAAGUUCCCCCCGAGUGAAAUAGCCCAGAGAAUGUAUGAAACGGCUAACUGGAACUUCCUCAUGCAUUGUCCUGGGUCUUAGCUUAGUCUGGCUCUAUACAUAUAAGAAAAUUACUCCUGAAAGAAACUUAAUAUUUUGCUCAAAAGCUGAUAAAUGGUGCUCCUAGGACAUGAACUAGAUCUCUCAGAUUCCAGAAUGCACAUUGUUGUUCUGAAUCAAGACUAAUCAUCUAUAGAUAAAGGAGAAAUAAAGAGA